This 253-nucleotide ribosomal RNA is filed under the name uncultured bacterium. RNAcentral describes it as "partial 16S ribosomal RNA". It matches the Rfam family "Bacterial small subunit ribosomal RNA", at positions 524 to 776 of the family's 1533-position model. The record is from RNAcentral.
UACAGAGGGUGCGAGCGUUGUUCGGAAUUAUUGGGCGUAAAGGGCGCGUAGGCGGCCUGGCAAGUGGAAGGUGAAAUCCCUCGGCUUAACCGGGGAACUGCCCUCCAAACUGCUUGGCUUGAGUCCGGGAGAGGUGAGUGGAAUUCCCAGUGUAGCGGUGAAAUGCGUAGAUAUUGGGAGGAACACCAGUGGCGAAGGCGGCUCACUGGACCGGAACUGACGCUGAGGCGCGAAAGCGUGGGGAGCAAACGGG